GAUGAACGCUGGCGGCGUGCCUAAUACAUGCAAGUCGAGCGAACAGAUGAGGAGCUUGCUCCUCUGACGUUAGCGGCGGACGGGUGAGUAACACGUGGAUAACCUACCUAUAAGACUGGGAUAACUUCGGGAAACCGGAGCAAAUACCGGAUAAUAUAUUAAACCGCAUGGUUCAAUAUGGAAAGACGGUUUUGCUGUAACUAUUAAAGGGAUCCGCGCCGCAUUAGCUAGUUGGUAAGGUAACGGCUUACCAAGGCAACGAUGCGUAGCCGACCUGAGAGGGUGAUCGGCCACACUGGAACUGAGACACGGUCCAGACUCCUACGGGAGGCAGCAGUAGGGAAUCUUCCGCAAUGGGCGAAAGCCUGACGGAGCAACGCCGCGUGAGUGAUGAAGGUCUUCGGAUCGUAAAACUCUGUUAUUAGGGAAGAACAAAUGUGUAAGUAACUAUGCACGUCUUGACGGUACCUAAUCAGAAAGCCACGGCUAACUACGUG
This 497-nucleotide ribosomal RNA is filed under the name uncultured bacterium. Its description in RNAcentral is "partial 16S ribosomal RNA". It matches the Rfam family "Bacterial small subunit ribosomal RNA", at positions 28 to 507 of the family's 1533-position model. The record is from RNAcentral.